ACGAACGCUGGCGGCGUGCCUAAUACAUGCAAGUAGAACGCUGAGGACUGGUGCUUGCACUGGUCUAAGGAGUUGCGAACGGGUGAGUAACGCGUAGGUAACCUACCUCAUAGCGGGGGAUAACUAUUGGAAACGAUAGCUAAUACCGCAUGACAAUAGGGUACACAUGUACCCUAUUUAAAAGGGGCAAAUGCUUCACUAUGAGAUGGACCUGCGUUGUAUUAGCUAGUUGGUAAGGUAACGGCUUACCAAGGCGACGAUACAUAGCCGACCUGAGAGGGUGAUCGGCCACACUGGGACUGAGACACGGCCCAG
Molecule: ribosomal RNA, 315 nt
Filed under: uncultured bacterium
Lineage: Bacteria
Description: bacterial SSU rRNA
Rfam family: Bacterial small subunit ribosomal RNA
Source: RNAcentral